GCAGUACUCCCUCCGUUCGAAAAAACUUGUCCCAAGCUUGUCCCUCAAAUGGAUGUAUCUAGCACUAACUUGGUGUUAGAUACAUCCAUUUGAGGGACAAGCUUUUUCGGACGGAGGGAGUACAUA
Triticum aestivum (bread wheat) is the source of this 126-nucleotide non-coding RNA. The record is from Rfam. Lineage: Eukaryota; Viridiplantae; Streptophyta; Magnoliopsida; Poales; Poaceae.